CCUACGGGAGUCAGCAGUGAGGAAUAUUGGUCAAUGGGCGUAAGCCUGAACCAGCCAAGUCGCGUGAGGGAUGAAGGUUCUCUGGAUCGUAAACCUCUUUUGUAAGGGAAUAAAGUGCGGGACGUGUAACGUUUUGUAUGUACCUUAUGAAUAGAGAAAGGAUAACCCUGUGCCAGCCGCCGAGGUAAUGCGGAGGCUCAGAGUGUUAUCCGGAUUUACUUGGUUUAAAGGGUUCGUAGGAGGCCUUGUAAGUCAGCGGUGAAAGUCUGUGGCUCAACCAUAGAAUUGCCGUUGAAACUGGGAGGCUUGAGUAUGUUAGAGGCAGGCGGAAGGCGUGGUGUAGCGGUGAAAUGCUUAGAUAUCACGCAGAACCCCGAUUGCGAAGGCAGCCUGCCGGGCCAUGACUGACGCUGAUGCACGAAAGCGUGGGGAUCAAACAGGAUUAGAUACCCGGGUAGUC
Molecule: ribosomal RNA, 460 nt
Filed under: uncultured bacterium
Lineage: Bacteria
Description: partial 16S ribosomal RNA
Rfam family: Bacterial small subunit ribosomal RNA
Source: RNAcentral